This 460-nucleotide ribosomal RNA is filed under the name uncultured bacterium. Its description in RNAcentral is "SSU rRNA". It matches the Rfam family "Bacterial small subunit ribosomal RNA", at positions 26 to 518 of the family's 1533-position model. The record is from RNAcentral.
AGAAUCAACGCUGGCGGCGUGCCUAACACAUGCAAGUCGCACGAGAAAGGGGCUUCGGCCCUGAGUAAAGUGGCGCACGGGUGAGUAACACGUGACUAACCUACCCUCGAGUGGGGAAUAACCUAGAGAAAUCUGGGCUAAUACCGCAUAACACUUACGAGUCAAAGCAGCAAUGCGCUUGAGGAGGGGGUCGCGGCAGAUUAGUUAGUUGGCAGGGUAAUGGCCUACCAAGACAAUGAUCUGUAUCCGGCCUGAGAGGGCGCACGGACACACUGGAACUGAAACACGGUCCAGACUCCUACGGGAGGCAGCAGUGGGGAAUUUUGCGCAAUGGGGGAAACCCUGACGCAGCAACGCCGCGUGGAGGAUGAAGUCCCUUGGGACGUAAACUCCUUUCGAUCGGGACGAUAAUGACGGUACCGGAAGAAGAAGUCCCGGCUAACUUCGCGCCAGCAGCCGC